Non-coding RNA from Ictidomys tridecemlineatus (thirteen-lined ground squirrel), 71 nucleotides. NCBI's taxonomy places the organism in Eukaryota, Metazoa, Chordata, Mammalia, Rodentia, Sciuridae. The record is from Rfam.
UGGGGUCUGGCUCAGCGGUAGAGCACUUGCCUAGCAGUGUGAGGCCCUGGGUUGGAUUCCCAGCACCGCAU